GACAGGGAUCAAAUGUUGCCAACAAGUUUCCAAAUUUUGUUAUGACGAAUAACGGCUGUAAAAAAGCCGUUAUUGUAAAGUCCGUGCAAGCGAGAACGCACAGUAGCAUAGUGUGUUCGUUCCGCAGACGUUUGUUUCGAAAAUAUGCUGCAAUUAUCGUUCCAUUUGCGACGCUUCCGACCACAGACAGGGAAAUGUUAGCAAUGAUCACAAACACGUUUAUGGCGAAAUAGACCCCUUCCGCAGGGUACCUUGAGUAAUAAGUGAUGUAUAAACCAUUGCAACGCGCAAAACUCGUCAAAUUCGUGUCCUGUUCCAUCUUCACUGACAGCCUGUUGUUUCAAAGAUAAUUCUCUUCGUUAUUAUUAGAUGAAACUCGCUCUUCGCUGCGUAUUUCACUUUCUUAGACUUCGUUUUCGAUAUCAAGAG
Paramuricea clavata is the source of this 429-nucleotide non-coding RNA. NCBI's taxonomy places the organism in Eukaryota, Metazoa, Cnidaria, Anthozoa, Malacalcyonacea, Plexauridae. The record is from the annotation of a GenBank genome assembly.